Molecule: long non-coding RNA, 1564 nt
Filed under: Triticum aestivum (bread wheat)
Lineage: Eukaryota; Viridiplantae; Streptophyta; Magnoliopsida; Poales; Poaceae
Description: long non-coding RNA (TAES_LNC013937)
Source: RNAcentral
UGGAAGCAUAAAUUUUUAGAUCAGUGAUAAGAUAAAUCCUGUGUACCGGUGCUUAGUAGCUAGCGAAAUGCGGCUGGUAUUUUUGGUCUGUAUGUAGGUAGCUUCCUGAUGUGUGUGGCUGUGUGUUCAUUCACACAGACCUGAACUUAUUUAUGUUUUUCGUUGGCUUCAUUUUAGUAAAGAUGGGGUGGGGAAAAACUACACCCUAUAUAUGUAAGUUGACUGAAAAUAAUAAUAUGUUCCAGUAGCUAUAUUUCUUCGGUUCCUAACAUGGUUGUAGGCUAGAUGUUCCUCUUGGUUUGUCUUGCUAUAGAACCUGCCCCUAUUCAUCUGUUACACAUUUUGUGUAGCUAUUAAGGAAGAAAGUAAUGGACAUUCACAGGUCAGAGUCUCCCCAUCAGCAUUUGAUGGCAGGAGCCGCUGCUUUACAGAAGAUGGAUGUGAAACCAAAAUCAUAUUUUACUAACUUUUAUUUACUUCAUAUUAUCAUUUAGCAGUAUGUUGGUUGUGCCUCCCCGUGAUCAAUGUAGAUCUUCUGCAGAUGUAGUGCAUGCAGUUCUCUCAGGCGUUAAACUUCUCAAUGGUUGACCAUGGAAAAUCUGUGUAGCUCUUGUUUUCUCCAUAUGUUUCUGGUUUCGAGCUCUUACUCCUUUUGAAAUUACCAUCUUUAAACAUUGUAGAUUCCAAUCUCUUGUGUAUUUACAUCAAAGACUGUUUUCGAAUGCUUAUUAUGUACUAAACUCCCUGCCCCCUCCUUCUGUCACAUGUGUUGUUCCCUUGUCAUCAGUGAGCUCGAGAAAACACAACUACAAGGUACAGAAUAGUUGCCACUUAGUUAGCAUUUUAGUUAACAUUGUAGACAUGUUAGUAACACUAUAAUGUUGGACAAUAAAUGAAUUCGACUACAUCCAAAGGAACUUAUCUUGCUUCCAAGAAUAGUAAAAUCAUCUUUAAUAUUUUUCCAAAUUUCGCUUAUAUUCAUAUUUCUUAACAUGUUUGGAAUGCCGUUUCCUCCGAAAUGCAGCAUUUACCUUCCAUUUGGAGCAUAGGAUGCAUUUUUAUCAGUUCCUGACUGAAAUAACCACUUUUCUGAUAAAAAUGCUAUCCAUCAGUUAGACUUGAUUAAUUGUCUUCUAGACACACCUUCAAAUAUAUAUAAGUUCUCUGAUAAGGUAGUUGUGGGAAGACUUAUUUUUGGUUUACAUUGUAAAAAAAUUCAAUGACCACAGAUUUGACUUUCUUUUUUGCUUCUUUUCAGCUUUCAGGUCCUAAAUGAGAAGGUAAGGAUGUACUUGAGCAGUAUGAGAAGACCCAGUUCCAUCAUCUCAGAAGCUAGAAGUUCCCCAUUUAAUAUCUUUCAUUCUGAAAUUUGUUUAAGAAGAUGGUCAUUCUUCUAUUAGCAGCACGAUUAUGUGUCAAUUGUAGAUUCUUAAUUGCUUAGAAAUAUUUUAUAUGUUUGAUUCCUUCGAUUCAUAUUUAUUCAACAACAAAAUAUUUUCAAGAUUGGUCCGUUUGAGGAUCAAAUUUCAGACGUGUUAAUUGAUGUGGUAUCAAGCUAAGUCUG